Molecule: ribosomal RNA, 301 nt
Filed under: uncultured bacterium
Lineage: Bacteria
Description: partial 16S ribosomal RNA
Rfam family: Bacterial small subunit ribosomal RNA
Source: RNAcentral
CAGUAGCCGCGGUAAUACGUAGGGUGCAAGCGUUAAUCGGAAUUACUGGGCGUAAAGCGUGCGCAGGCGGUUUGUUAAGACAGAUGUGAAAUCCCCGGGCUCAACCUGGGAACUGCAUUUGUGACUGGCAAGCUAGAGUCUGGCAGAGGGGGGUGGAAUUCCGCGUGUAGCAGUGAAAUGCGUAGAUAUGCGGAGGAACACCGAUGGCGAAGGCAGCCCCCUGGGCCAACACUGACGCUCAUGCACGAAAGCGUGGGGAGCAAACAGGAUUAGAUACCCGAGUAGUCCCUGUCUCUUAUAA